GUGGGGAAUAUUGGACAAUGGGGGGAACCCUGAUCCAGCCAUGCCGCGUGUGUGAAGAAGGCCUUUUGGUUGUAAAGCACUUUAAGCGAGGAGGAGGCUACUGAGAUUAAUACUCUUGGAUAGUGGACGUUACUCGCAGAAUAAGCACCGGCUAACUCUGUGCCAGCAGCCGCGGUAAUACAGAGGGUGCAAGCGUUAAUCGGAUUUACUGGGCGUAAAGCGCGCGUAGGUGGCCAAUUAAGUCAAAUGUGAAAUCCCCGAGCUUAACUUGGGAAUUGCAUUCGAUACUGGUUGGCUAGAGUAUGGGAGAGGAUGGUAGAAUUCCAGGUGUAGCGGUGAAAUGCGUAGAGAUCUGGAGGAAUACCGAUGGCGAAGGCAGCCAUCUGGCCUAAUACUGACACUGAGGUGCGAAAGCAUGGGGAGCAAACAGGAUUAGAAACCCUGGUAGUCC
This 451-nucleotide ribosomal RNA is filed under the name uncultured bacterium. Its description in RNAcentral is "partial 16S ribosomal RNA". It matches the Rfam family "Bacterial small subunit ribosomal RNA", at positions 354 to 796 of the family's 1533-position model. The record is from RNAcentral.